Molecule: ribosomal RNA, 253 nt
Filed under: uncultured bacterium
Lineage: Bacteria
Description: partial 16S ribosomal RNA
Rfam family: Bacterial small subunit ribosomal RNA
Source: RNAcentral
UACGGAGGGUGCUAGCGUUGUUCGGAAUUACUGGGCGUAAAGGGCGCGUAGGCGGCCGUUUGCGUCGGAUGUGAAAGCCCGGGGCUCAACCUCGGAACGGCAUUCGAUACGGGACGGCUGGAGACCGGGAGAGGAGAGUGGAAUAGCCAGUGUAGAGGUGAAAUUCGUAGAUAUUGGCUGGAACACCGGUGGCGAAAGCGGCUCUCUGGCCCGGUCCUGACGCUGAGGCGCGAAAGCGUGGGGAGCAAACAGG